CCUUCUCCCCAGUUAAUUCACUCUAACAAGGUGACCCCAAUGUUGGAUUACAGUGGCAUGAAGACUAUUGAAAUCAAAAAUGAACUGAGCAAGUAUGGCUUGAAACCAUCUUUGGGCAAAAAGAAAGGCAAAGUACUUCUUCGAUAUAUUUACAGUGAGCUGCAUCCAACAAUUGAAGCUUUAUCAGGUACAGAAAACAAAGAAAUGAAAGAAGGUGCUACUAAGGACCAGCCAACAACCAGCUCUGCAAAUCAUGUUGGUGAUUCAGACUCUGAAAGUGAAGAAAGCAAUGCAGAAAACCAGUUUGAAUGCAGCUUUUCCUCAGAAGCCAGCACGCUACCAGAAGAGGGCAUUGACACUAUCCCUGAGUCCUUAACGCAGACUGUGAAAUCUAAAUUUUUGAAAGAAGGUGAACUAGAAAAGCCUGUUUUGGAAUUCAUCAGAGCAGAUAAACAAUUACACACUAAAGUACUGAUGUAUGAACCUCUGUGGCUGGAAAAGUUCUUUGAUAAUUUGAAAGGCCAUGGCAUCAAAUGUAAACUAAGUGAUCUUAUGGAUGUUUGGAUAAAAAAUGUAUAA
RNAcentral lists this long non-coding RNA (579 nucleotides) under Bemisia tabaci. RNAcentral describes it as "lncRNA ENSSSA1NGG012762". Lineage: Eukaryota; Metazoa; Arthropoda; Insecta; Hemiptera; Aleyrodidae. The record is from RNAcentral.